RNAcentral lists this ribosomal RNA (2913 nucleotides) under Triticum aestivum (bread wheat). RNAcentral's name for it is "partial small subunit ribosomal RNA". The record is from RNAcentral. Lineage: Eukaryota; Viridiplantae; Streptophyta; Magnoliopsida; Poales; Poaceae.
AUGAAAGAGAGUUGCUUCAUUUGGAUCAACCCUCCCUCCGGGCCAUAUAGCAGAGUUGGGUCAGGCAUGGCCAGCUCCGGAGGGUUCCGGUAUGCGGCGAUCCUGCUUGUUUUGUGCAUUCUCCAUGUGGACGUCGUAAGGGGACAAAUCACUCACCCUACUGAAGUAAGUGCUCUCAAUGCUAUCAAAGGCAGUUUAAUUGAUCCUAUGAACAAGCUGAAGAAAUGGAAUAGAGGAGAUCCAUGCACAUCAAAUUGGACAGGAGUCAUCUGCCACAAGAUACCCAAUGAUGCAUAUCUUCAUGUAACAGAGCUGGAGUUGUUUAACAUGAAUCUUUCUGGAACUUUGGCACCAGAGGUUGGUCUUCUGUCUCAGCUGAACAAGUUGGAUUUUAUGUGGAACAAUUUGACUGGUAACAUCCCGAAAGAGAUAGGCAAUAUCACAACACUCACUCUUAUAACUUUGAAUGGUAAUCAACUAUCUGGUUCCCUACCAGAUGAGAUUGGCUAUCUCCAGAAGUUAAACAGAUUACAGAUUGACCAAAACCAAAUAUCUGGACCCAUACCUAAAUCAUUUGGUAAUUUAACAAGCAUGAAGCAUUUUCACAUGAACAAUAAUUCAUUGAGUGGGCGAAUUCCACCUGAGUUGUUCAGAUUGCCUGUGCUCCUUCAUCUGCUUGUGGAUACCAAUAAUUUAUCUGGGCCUCUUCCUCCAGAAUUAGCGGAUACACGUAGUUUGAAAAUACUUCAGGCUGAUAAUAAUAACUUCAGUGGAAGUUCCAUCCCUGCUGUAUACAACAACAUACGGACACUUUUAAAGCUGAGUCUUAGGAAUUGCAGUUUGCAAGGAGUUAUUCCUGAUCUAAGUGGCAUACCUGACCUUGGCUAUUUGGAUCUUAGCUGGAACCAACUGACAGGAUCUAUACCAACUAAUAAACUCGCUUCAAAUGUCACCAAGAUUGAUUUGUCGCAUAACUUUCUUAAUGGAACUAUUCCGGCAAACUUCUCCGGGCUGCCUAAUCUUCAGUUCUUGUCGUUUGAAGCGAACAAUCUCAGCGGCGCUGUUCCAUCGACAAUCUGGAGUGGUAUCACUUUUACGGGAAACAGAAGCCUUCUUCUGGACUUCCAAAACAACAUCCUUGACACUAUUCCAGAUGCAUUUGAGCCUCCAAAAGCUGUCACUCUACUGCUUUUUGGAAACCGCGUAUGUGACACUUCUAAUCCAGCUCGAGCAGCCGGACUUUGUCAACCCACAUAUGUAAACGACGCACCAUCUGGACAUGGGCCACAAGUUAGUUUGAACUGCGCUCCUUGCCCGACGGAUAGAAAUUAUGAAUACAGUCCAUCAUCCCCUAUACCUUGUUUCUGUGCUGUGCCUCUGGGAGUUGGAUUUCGGCUGAAGAGUCCAGGGAUCGCAGACUUCCGCUCCUACAAAGAAGCCUUUGAGAUCGACUCGACCUCUGUAUUGGGCCUGAGUGUUUACCAGCUAUACAUUGAGCAGUACACAUGGGAGGCUGGUCCAAGGCUGAAUAUGAAUUUGAAGUUAUUCCCAAAUAACACUAAUUUAUUCACGAUAUCGGAAGUUAUGCGGCUCAGGCAAUUACUUGCUGGAUGGCAAAUUACUCUAUCAGACACUUUUGGUCCGUACGAGCUUCUCAAUUUCACGCUUGGUUCCUAUGGAGAUGAUUUUCCAACUGUGGUGUCAUCAGGUUUAAACAAGGGCGCACUAGCUGGGAUUUUGGCAGGAACAAUAAUUGCUGCUAUCGCAGUUUCAGUGGUUUCUACACUUUUUAUAGUGAGAAGACGCUCAAAACGUCGAACAGUUUCGAGGCGGUCAUUACUGUCGAGGUAUUCCGUCAAGAUUGACGGUGUGAGAUCCUUCACAUUUGAAGAAAUGGCUACAGCAACAAAUGAUUUUGAUGAUUCAGCUGAAAUUGGUCAGGGAGGUUAUGGAAAAGUCUAUAAAGGAAAACUAGCUGAUGGAACAGCCGUUGCAAUCAAACGAGCACAUGAGGAUUCUCUGCAAGGUUCAAAGGAAUUUGUCACAGAAAUAGAAUUGCUGUCAAGAUUGCAUCAUCGUAAUUUGGUAUCUCUGAUUGGCUAUUGUGAUGAAGAAGAUGAGCAGAUGCUGGUGUAUGAAUUCAUGCCAAAUGGCACUCUACGUGAUCAUCUUUCUGCAACGUGUAAAAGACCUCUUAACUUUGCUCAGAGGUUGCAUAUUGCACUGGGUGCUGCAAAGGGAAUCCUCUAUCUACACACCGAGGCAGAUCCUCCUAUAUUUCACCGUGAUGUUAAGGCCACCAACAUUCUAUUGGACUCCAAGUUCGUAGCAAAGGUGGCUGACUUUGGUCUUUCAAGGCUUGCUCCGGUCCCGGAUAUUGAAGGAAAAUUGCCAGCUCAUAUAUCCACUGUUGUUAAGGGCACCCCAGGCUAUCUUGAUCCAGAAUACUUCUUAACUCACAAAUUGACAGAAAAAAGCGAUGUGUAUAGCCUUGGUGUUGUGCUGCUUGAACUAUUGACCGGGAUGAAGCCAAUCCAGUUUGGUAAAAACAUCGUUAGAGAGGUGAACACAGCUUACCGAUCCGGAGACAUUUCUGGAAUCAUCGACAGCCGAAUGUCCUGGUGCCCUCCGGAGUUUGCCACGAGGUUCCUCUCGCUGGGCCUGAAAUGCUGCCAAGACGACACCGACGCAAGGCCUUACAUGGCCGAGAUCGCCAGGGAACUCGAUGCCAUCCGGAGCGAUUUGCCCGAGGGAGAAGAUUUCAUGUCUGUAACCUCCAUGGAGAUAAGCUCCUCAGGCACGCUGACCCAAUCUACGUCGAACUCCUUGAUGACGACCACCGGGGAGCAUUUCGAUAUAUCCCAUGCCUCCAGCAGCGGCGUCCCUUCCAGGAUGGCGAUGAAUCCUCGCUAG